CUGAUUAUUAGCCAAUCAGAGCGCGCAACGUCACAACCUGGUGAGGGUGGACGUACGCGCGCGAAGGGAACCUCACUCCCGAGCUGAAGAAAAUGGCGUGUGGGUGCGCGCUGCUCUGGAAGAUGACGUGAACUUCGUCAACAUUGACAGAUUUGGACAGGAAAGCUGAUCUUGAAGAGCACGACCCAAGGAAGAUGUCACUAACUUCACAUCAUUGACAGAUUUGGACAGGAAAGCUUAUUCUGAAGACCUCGACCCAAGGAAGAUGUCACCAACUUCACAUCAUUGACAGAUUUAGACAGGAAAGCUGAUCUUGAAGAGCACGACCCAAGGAAGAUGUCACUAACUUCACAUCAUUGUCAGAUUUGGACAGGAAAGCUGAAGACCUCGACCCAAGGAAGAUGUCUCCAACUUCACAUCAUCAUUGGUAUCACAUCUGGCGAGUUAACAUUUGAAAACAAGUUUAACAUUUCUUAAUUACUACUAUGUAGUGAACCUUCAACCAGGUUUUAUGCGGUGUAUAUUAUACUAGUGUUUGUACCCUUA
Cherax quadricarinatus is the source of this 546-nucleotide long non-coding RNA. RefSeq lists it as uncharacterized. The record is from RefSeq and is a predicted model, not a curated record. Lineage: Eukaryota; Metazoa; Arthropoda; Malacostraca; Decapoda; Parastacidae.